GGUAUUUCUUUGAAUAACAGUGAAUUUGAAAAAAUAUAGAUAUAUACAUAUUUGGCUGUUCAUGUCUUUUGGUUAUUCAAAUUAAUAAGAAAAGAUAAUUAUUAUAUUAAGGAUAUAUGAUUUAACUGUCUCAUAUCAAAAAUAUUUUUUCCAGUUUGUAAUUUUUUCUCUUCAGUGUUGCUUCCUUUAUAUUGUUUCUUUUUAAUUUAUGUGUUCAAAAUUGUCAACCAUUUAAAAAAAAAUUUGCCCCAGGAAUCAUGCUUCAAAAGUUAGUUCCUUUCCCAAGAUCAUGGACCUGGAAUGAAUUGAUUUUCAGAACUUAGUAGGGUGACUGCCUCUCAAAUCUUUUCCUUUUUCUUAUCAGGAAAGCAAUAGAAGAACUGCUUAAGGAGGCAAAACGUGGGAAAACUAGAGCUGAAACAAUGGGACCCAUGGGUUGGAUGAAGUGUCCUCUUGCUAGCACCAAUAAAAGAUUUCUAAUUAACACAAUUAAAAACACAUUGCCCUCUCAUAAAGAGCAAGACCAUGAACAAAAAGAGGGCGAUAAGGAACCAGCGAAGAGCCAGGCCCAAAAAGAAGAAAACCCGAAGAAACACAGAAGCCAUCCUUACAAGCACAGCUUCCGCGCUCGAGGUUCCGCCAGUUACUCCCCGCCACGAAAGCGGAGCAGCCAGGACAAGUACGAAAAGCGGUCCAACCGGCGGUGAGGAUGGAACCAGGGCCAGCCAGCCCUGCGGGCCUCCGUGCUCCUUCGGGGUGCGGUGUGCGGAGAAGGCAUGAGCUGGCAGGGCAAACACCUGAGAGUGACUUUGACAGUAGGUCCUUUGUUGUUUUUAAAGAGGCUGCUGGCCACGGGCAAAAAAUGACCUAGCAACUCUUGAGGAAACAAGUACAAAGGAGGAUGUCUUGGCAAGUUUAAGCUACUUCUGCAGUGUAGUAGACAUAUGUAUUGUUGUUUAUCUUGUUUGGAAGUGUGUUUCAAAAUAAACAUGUCUAGAAUUUAAAGUUUUCAGA
Molecule: small RNA, 1014 nt
Filed under: Pongo abelii (Sumatran orangutan)
Lineage: Eukaryota; Metazoa; Chordata; Mammalia; Primates; Hominidae
Description: retained intron
Source: RNAcentral